RNAcentral lists this ribosomal RNA (466 nucleotides) under uncultured bacterium. Its description in RNAcentral is "bacterial SSU rRNA". It matches the Rfam family "Bacterial small subunit ribosomal RNA", at positions 331 to 793 of the family's 1533-position model. The record is from RNAcentral.
CCAGACUCCUACGGGAGGCAGCAGUGAGGAAUAUUGGUCAAUGGCCGCAGGGCUGAACCAGCCAAGUCGCGUGAGGGAUGACGGUCCUAUGGAUUGUAAACCUCUUUUGUCAGGGAGCAAUUGGCGCUACGUGUAGCGUUAUCGAGAGUACCUGAAGAAAAAGCAUCGGCUAACUCCGUGCCAGCAGCCGCGGUAAUACGGAGGAUGCGAGCGUUAUCCGGAUUUAUUGGGUUUAAAGGGUGCGUAGGCGGACGCUUAAGUCGGCGGUAAAAUUGCGGGGCUCAACCCCGUCGAGCCGUUGAAACUGGGUGCCUUGAGUGGGCGAGAAGUACGCGGAAUGCGUGGUGUAGCGGUGAAAUGCAUAGAUAUCACGCAGAACUCCGAUUGCGAAGGCAGCAUACCGGCGCUCAACUGACGCUCAUGCACGAAAGUGUGGGUAUCGAACAGGAUUAGAUACCCGUGUACG